AGCCUUUCGUAUCUGAGCUGAGAUUUUGUCAAAAAUCAGUCGACUAGGGCUGCUGCAGCUUCCCAGAUAAGUGAAGUA
RNAcentral lists this microRNA precursor (78 nucleotides) under Trichobilharzia regenti. RNAcentral's name for it is "mir-3492 microRNA precursor family". It matches the Rfam family "mir-3492 microRNA precursor family". Lineage: Eukaryota; Metazoa; Platyhelminthes; Trematoda; Strigeidida; Schistosomatidae. The record is from Rfam by way of RNAcentral.